This 870-nucleotide ribosomal RNA is filed under the name uncultured bacterium. Its description in RNAcentral is "bacterial SSU rRNA". It matches the Rfam family "Bacterial small subunit ribosomal RNA", at positions 24 to 901 of the family's 1533-position model. The record is from RNAcentral.
UCAGGAUAAACGCUAGCGGCAGGCUUAACACAUGCAAGUCGAGGGGUAUUAGUUUUCGGACUAAGAGACCGGCGCACGGGUGCGUAACGCGUAUGCAAUCUACCUUUCACAAAGGGAUAGCCCAGAGAAAUUUGGAUUAAUACCUUAUAGUAUAGCGACUUCGCAUGGGGAUGCUAUUAAAGAUUUAUCGGUGAAAGAUGAGCAUGCGUCCCAUUAGCUAGUUGGUAAGGUAACGGCUUACCAAGGCUACGAUGGGUAGGGGUCCUGAGAGGGAGAUCCCCCACACUGGUACUGGGACACGGACCAGACUCCUACGGGAGGCAGCAGUGAGGAAUAUUGGUCAAUGGGCGCAAGCCUGAACCAGCCAUGCCGCGUGCAGGAUGACGGUCCUAUGGAUUGUAAACUGCUUUUGUACAGGAAGAAACACUCCCUCGUGAGGGAGCUUGACGGUACUGUAAGAAUAAGGAUCGGCUAACUCCGUGCCAGCAGCCGCGGUAAUACGGAGGAUCCAAGCGUUAUCCGGAAUCAUUGGGUUUAAAGGGUCCGUANGCGGCUUAAUAAGUCAGUGGUGAAAGCCCUACGCUUAACGUANGAACGGCCAUUGAUACUGUUAGGCUUGAAUUAUUAGGAAGUAACUAGAAUAUGUAGUGUAGCGGUGAAAUGCUUAGAGAUUACAUGGAAUACCAAUUGCNNANGCNGGNUACUACUAAUGGAUUGACGCUGAUGGACNAAAGCGUGGGUAGCGAACAGGAUUAGAUACCCUGGUAGUCCAUGCCGUAAACGAUGGAUACUAGCUGUUGGAAGCAAUUUCAGUGGCUAAGCNAAAGUGANANUAUCCCACCUGGGGAGUACGUUCNCAAGAAUGAAACU